AGAGUUUGAUCCUGGCUCAGGACGAACGCUGGCGGCGUGCUUAACACAUGCAAGUCGAACGGAAAGGCCCUUUCGGGGGUACUCGAGUGGCGAACGGGUGAGUAACACGUGGGUGAUCUGCCCUGCACUUUGGGAUAAGCCUGGGAAACUGGGUCUAAUACCGGAUAGGACUACGCGAUGCAUGUCGUGUGGUGGAAAGCUUUUGCGGUGUGGGAUGGGCCCGCGGCCUAUCAGCUUGUUGGUGGGGUGAUGGCCUACCAAGGCGACGACGGGUAGCCGGCCUGAGAGGGUGACCGGCCACACUGGGACUGAGAUACGGCCCAGACUCCUACGGGAGGCAGCAGUGGGGAAUAUUGCACAAUGGGCGCAAGCCUGAUGCAGCGACGCCGCGUGAGGGAUGACGGCCUUCGGGUUGUAAACCUCUUUCAGCACAGACGAAGCGCAAGUGACGGUAUGUGCAGAAGAAGGACCGGCCAACUACGUGCCAGCAGCCGCGGUAAUACGUAGGGUCCGAGCGUUGUCCGGAAUUACUGGGCGUAAAGAGCUCGUAGGUGGUUUGUCGCGUUGUUCGUGAAAACUCACAGCUUAACUGUGGGCGUGCGGGCGAUACGGGCAGACUUGAGUACUGCAGGGGAGACUGGAAUUCCUGGUGUAGCGGUGGAAUGCGCAGAUAUCAGGAGGAACACCGGUGGCGAAGGCGGGUCUCUGGGCAGUAACUGACGCUGAGGAGCGAAAGCGUGGGGAGCGAACAGGAUUAGAUACCCUGGUAGUCC
RNAcentral lists this ribosomal RNA (773 nucleotides) under uncultured bacterium. RNAcentral's name for it is "bacterial SSU rRNA". It matches the Rfam family "Bacterial small subunit ribosomal RNA", at positions 8 to 796 of the family's 1533-position model. The record is from RNAcentral.